This 4211-nucleotide unclassified non-coding RNA is filed under the name Stylophora pistillata. RNAcentral's name for it is "uncharacterized LOC111345667, transcript variant X1". The record is from RNAcentral. Lineage: Eukaryota; Metazoa; Cnidaria; Anthozoa; Scleractinia; Pocilloporidae.
GGUCGUUUACAAGUCUUAAAAGUUGAAGUGAAUGGAUAAUGACUACCGAGAUUUAUUUCCGUUUUUCUUAGCCAAAGCUAUGAGGUUAGGUAGUAUUUGGAAACAAAUACAUGCAGCUGUAACCUUACGGACAUUUCUUUCAAAUUGUUGAGCAAUACCUCAGUGGAUGACAUGAAACAAGAGAUCCAUCGAAAAUUGUUUACUUGAAGUCUGAAGCGUUUGAAACUUAAUCUAUGCUGAACCAACUGUCCAACAUCUGACAACCGAUGGCAUGUGAUUGGUGAAUUCGCACUUGACUUAUCAAGAUUAAUUAGAGAGUUCAAGGUAAAAUUUUGUCUGGUUUGGCGAUUUCGCACGCAGUGUCAGUAGUGUUCGUUGAUCGUAUAACUGGAAUUAAACAGGAAGGCUUUUUCGGCAUAGAGUUUGGUAAGGAAACAGUGAGGUUAGGGAGACAAAGUCAACAAAGAGUCCGCCAAAUUGAUUGAAAACUUACACCAUAAAGGAGUUAGUGCGGAGCUUGGACACGAAGAAGUCACAGUUUCAACGGAGCCAUGUUUGCUGUCAAAGAGGAGCGCACGGUUAUAGGAGGCGUUGAAUUGGCGAGGAAGACAGUAGUCGCGGCUACAGGGGAGGGAAUUAUCAACAGGGAAUACAUAGAAGCUCGAAGAGAGGUAGAUUUGCCUGGAAGUGUUCCUGCUGUUGCAUAUCCAAGCGCACCUCCCGCUCUGCCUCCACCCCCACCCCAACCCAUGAUAACAGCCCCCCCAUCGCCAAAAGGGUUUAGCUGGAUGGAGUGUUGCUUCAAGUGUGACGAUCAACACGAAUGGUACCAACUAGGCGGGAAGGGUUUUUGCUUUGUAUUGUUACUUCUCCUGGCUUAUGUGGUCGCUGGAGGUCUUAUACUUGCAUAUUUCGGUGUGUUGUGUAUAUUUGCAACCCUCCUAGACUGUGACUGUGACUGACAUUUGACUAUAUCAGUCUAUAUUCUUUCUAUAACAAGGAGUUUCAUCAGUAUUAAGCGGUAAAAUCGCGUCAAAAAAUUAGAACGCAAUACUUGAACUUUAUUUUGAAAAUCAUUAUGUAGAAAUUGUGAUUUUGGAAAUUAAAACGCAAAACUUAGCAUAAUUUAUAACUUAAUGCUGCAGAAAUGACAGCAGAUGUCAGCUGGAAAAGUUAUGUCGAGCACCUAACCCACCCUUUCUUAAGCAGUACAUUGCAUUGGUGGUUUUCAUGUCAGUGUUCCAUUCGCCAACAAGUGGCAAAGGACUGGUAUAAGAUAAGUAUUUGAGAAGUAAAGGAUUAGCUCUUGUCUGUUUUGUCUCGUUCUGAAGAGCACGACAGCAGGAAAUUAAGUUACCGGUAAGUUGAGUUUAAGGUCAUUUGGCUCGGUAAAUCAGUCUUUUCACAUCUUUUAUUUUUGAUUUGUACUCAAUUAAGAUGCUAAGCGAAGAUUGUAGCUCCAGUUGAAUUUCUGUCAAGGAAACGACCAAAUAAGAAACGUGAACGAGCAAGGAAUUUCUUCCGUUAACCACAGCCGUGUACACAUGUCAUAUGCUUAGAAAAUUCUUCGUAGUCAACUGCACUAUAACUUUAGCAAACCCUGCGCAUGUGCAAGAGUCGUUGCUCAGCUUUUCCCUGACAGACCUGUAAUCAACAACAUUGUGGUACAACGGAAAAUAAAUAAGUGGUAAUUCAUUGAUUCCUGGUUUGCGUUUCUCUAUCGUCUGUAAGCAUAAGUUCAAACGUACUACAGACAUAAACAUAGAAACACUAGUGUCCUUUCUAAAUAGUUUGGUUAGUUUCGAAACUUAGCCAUGUCACUCAUGUGAACUAGGCUUAAAGCGAUCGAAUGGAGAUUAGUCUUUCAAACGAUUAAAAAUUUGUUGACACUGUUAUGUGGUUUGGCUGCCUGCCUGUUCAGUCACCAACUCCCACGACGGAUCGAUAGCGUUCCCGUGAGCCUUUGUUUACGCUCGGAUAAGUGUGCUUAUCAGCUGAUGUUUCAUUCAGACGAUUCCAACACUCAGAUGACCUCCUCACGUUCCGUUCAAAUAUUUUCGGUGUUUUUGCCUUACAGGUAUUGCAUUGGAGUAUUAAAUGCAAGGGAGAGACCAUCAUAUUUCCAAGGAGAAGCGGGUCAUGAUAUUAAUGUUUUAUCCUCACGUUGAGCAAGAUUUUCAUUUGGAAUUAAGUACGACGCUUGUGCAUGAUUUUUAAAAAGUCGCAAUUAGAGUAGAAAGUAUGCAAACAUGAACAGAGUAGAAACUGUUUGCUCGAUUUUUGCCCUUGUGGCUUCCCUUUGAGCAAAUUAUACCGCAGUUUUUAUAGCGUGUGAAGUUUCUUUCGUUAUACUUGCCUAACCAAUUGCGAACCUCUUGCAGUCUAAUCUUUGCAUUUCGCCUGACUGAGCCUUUAUACGCUUUAUCUUAGCAAGGUCACGCAUUAAAAGCGGGACAAGAGACUUUCAUGGAAUACAAAGUUGCAGGAACCCUUGAUGUGAAUCGGAAAUAUCUUGAAAUUUCCACUGGAUUUCGGCUAUUUAGGAACAAGUUUUAUGGUUGAAAUGGACGAUGGAAAAGAUACCACAGGCGUUUUGGCUGUUGGUGCAGAACACAACGCGGAAACGGCUUUCAAUUCAUUGCCACUAAAAACAGCUGAAUGGUCAGUGUCUAUGACCCAUAGUGUCAUUUAGAAAAAAUAAUGUUACAUCUGUUUUUCUAGCUCCUUCUCCUCUGUUUCAAGAAAGUUGAUACAUUUUGCCGUCAGUUUCCGCGAUACUCAUCAGUUUGUGGCCAUCAAUAUAUAGUCGAUUGAAAUUAACUAUAAUAACAGAUCUGCCAAAGAUUAUGUGUUCAGCGAUUAUAGUAACUUCCGGAGUAUCCACCCGGAAACUGAUUAACUUCACGUCUGUCCAUUUCAAUGAGUUCUUAAUCAAAAUUUGGAGAAGUGCACGUAGAGGGUGUGGCUUUCAAAUGACAUUCCACCAACUGAUGUCACUCACGUUUCCUCCACAACUGGGGUUUGAAGACUGAUCUUGACCAUUUAAAACCGAAUCCACGCAAGCACUGGCUUGCAUUGAUCGAAGAAGUUGUGAUAAAUUUCUCAAUCAUGCCUCAGCCAGCUACUGGGUUUCCACUGGAGACAUUUAAGCCUUGGAGCAUAAUCAUAUGAAUGACUGUUGAUGAUCUUCAAAGUGUUGUUGUGUAGAAUUGUAUAAAUCAGUCCUAACGAACUUGAUGUUGUUGUGCUUUUAAUGUUGGCGAUGUUCAAGUUAUGACUGUGGAACCGACGAGGUAAAAAUGCCGAUUUCUGUGUCAUGGUUAAUUAGAUCAUGAUGCCAUCGAGAUGGACAAGCAAUUGGCACAGUUGUCCUCGUUCUCUACCAACAAUUUAUUCCACUCCAAGGAUUAUCGCCCUGCGUAACACCCUCGGUCAUUAGCAACGUUGUAAAGAUGGAAGUAAAGAAGAAGCUGACCUUCAAUGACUUCUGUACACCUAAAAGCGGCCAGCAGGAAUUGUUGAGAACUUUCACAACACCCAGUUUGAAUCCCCUACAACGGUCUCUGCAUCAUCAUAUCCCAGCCCUGCUGUCAGUGUCGCUUCCCCAUCCAGUGACUGCAGUGGUGAGAUGUGCUGUAUGUUUUGUUUGGAGUGCGUUACAUGCCUUUGGGAAUGCCUUUGUUAUCGGUGCGAGAGGAUGAAAGAAUGUGCUGACUUUUGGGAGACAUUUUUGCGUUGAUUUUUCGUUGUGCACUCUUUGUGAAUUAGUUCAAAGGUGUGACUAUCCGAAAAGGAAGAAACAAGAGCUUGAUCUUCCUCUGUUUCGUCGACAUUUCGGAGUUUCCUUUGCACAAAAUUUCCAUCCAAAGUACGAUAGUAAAGCUUCUACCUUUUGAUUAUAUCCAUUAACCUCUGUAACAGGAUGAUUAUCACACUUUAAAGACUCAAUAAGUCAGUGCUAUUCAUACUAAGUCACGCUAGGUGACACUGUCACGUAAGCCCACGCUCGGCUGUCUUCCUCUUGCGCGGGCUUGUCUCGCUUCAAAUUCAUGUAACGAGAUAAACGCUAUUUACUGUAUGGUCGUUUGAUCUAAAACAAUGCAUAAUAAAUUCAACGCUUAGAUUUGAAACUUAACUUUUGUCAUCAUCAAAACUGUUGCUAUUACUAUCUUUACUAUGUCAUCAAUGACUUGAUUAAACAUGUCAUUUAU